GGCGGCUGCUGGCAGGCGGCGCAGCUGCUGCCGUUUUUCGAAGAGGCGCUGGCGGCGUUCGGCCCGCAGCGGCUGAUG
This 78-nucleotide transfer RNA is filed under the name Serratia rubidaea. RNAcentral describes it as "tRNA-Ser(cga)". Lineage: Bacteria; Pseudomonadati; Pseudomonadota; Gammaproteobacteria; Enterobacterales; Yersiniaceae. The record is from RNAcentral.